ACGUACAGGUUCCGUAGGUGACCUGCGCCAGGAUCAUUAU
Molecule: ribosomal RNA, 40 nt
Filed under: Rhodocollybia butyracea
Lineage: Eukaryota; Fungi; Basidiomycota; Agaricomycetes; Agaricales; Omphalotaceae
Description: partial 18S ribosomal RNA
Source: RNAcentral